RNAcentral lists this non-coding RNA (182 nucleotides) under Mycoplasmatota bacterium. RNAcentral describes it as "Tenericutes bacterium (anaerobic digester metagenome) 6S RNA". It matches the Rfam family "6S / SsrS RNA". From Rfam's summary of the family: E. coli 6S RNA was the first non coding RNA to be sequenced, but its function was unknown until recently. The record is from RNAcentral. Lineage: Bacteria; Bacillati; Mycoplasmatota.
AAUUGUCUGAAAGGUACGAUAAAUACGCCGGUUAUAAAACCCACUAAUUAUAACGAUAUGGGAGUAUAAAUGGUAAUUUGUGUUGAAUAUCUACUUUUAGUAGAAAUCCUAAUAAUUACACUAAUACACCCACCUGUACAUAUGCAGGUUUUAUCGUUGGCGUACGUCUUUUCGGACUUUUA